UUCUGCCUCUCUUUUUGGCCCUGGCAUUGCUGGCCCCAACCACAUUCCUGAUUGCCCGGGAAGAACAGCCUUUGAAAUUCAACAUCUGCUUCUGGGUAGUUGGUUGAACAAGCCCACCUGACCAAGAGAGGGAAGCACGCUAACUGUUUUCAGUUUGGACACUCUUGGGGGCUUUUUAGUAAUUGCAUGUGUUUCUGAGCAAGUGAGUGUCUUUUGUGGGUACCAGACAACAGGAUUGCUCCUCUCAACUAGGGACAGUCUGAAGAAUUUUGGUGUGCAAAUUCAUCAAGCUCACCCCAUGGAAAGAGGAAGCUCCGCUGUUUCAGUUUGGACACUCUUGGGGUUUGUUGGUUGCUGCAGCACUUGGAUUGUAUUUUGGUGAUUGUUUGUGUAUGUCAAUAUAGCCAUGGGAAGUAAGAAUUUGAUAAGCUGAUAAUCUUAUGUAAUACUGUUUGGCCUCAUAUCUUUGAAUCUGGAUAAGUUUGGCCUCUCCAUGUGCCUCGUUUUGCUGCUGAAUGGCAAAGCAGGGUGGAGUUUUGUGUAUUCAGGCUUUUAUGCUGUUGUUCAAAGCAAGGUCAGGCUUGAUUAGUACAUGAUGUUCUUCUGUGGUUUUUUCUGGCUCCAGUCAUCCUUGGAGUGUGGAGAGAUUUAGCCUUUAAAAAUCAAAAUGCCACAGAAACUGCUAUACCCAAAACUUUGGUUCACAACCUUCAUUGGAUUGCCUAUCAGGUCAAAAGAAGUUUAGCCAUGUGAACGUGUUCAUAAGCCUGUGAGUUUGUAUUGGUAUCUCAUGGCUAGAGUUCCAAGCAUUUCUGCUGUUCAAAUUCUCUCUGCAUUUCAUGACAGCAUCUACAUUCAAGAUUCCCAGAGGCACCAUCCACAAAGCUCUACAGCAUUUAGAUGGAGUUGCAAUUUGUUUCUAAGACAGAGGACAAGAAAUAUGAAGAAGCCUUUCCCUGGAGGCUGAUCCACGUGAUUCAGGAGAGGAAAUGUUUAGAGUUAGAAAGACUCCAUACAGUGCCUAGCUCCAGAUAAGGCUCAUGGUUCUUUCACAGUUAUGUGUGAAUAUGAAUGUGGCUUUUAUAUAUGUGGGCUGCUUUUUAAAUGAAAGGUAAUUUUCUUUUUUAUCAGUCUGGGAGACAAAAACCAAUGGAUGUGUGAAGUAUUGGAGUGAUGUUAACAGGAGCCCUGAGUGCACUGACUGUCCGCCUUGCAGUCCCACACUGUCGGCCUAGAGACCAGAGGAAGGAUCUAGGAGCAGGGAGAGAUCUGUGGCUCCUCUUUGUAUUCCCUCUAAUGAAGGUGUGAAGGUUAGAGGAAAAAUACUGUUACCCAGGUCAUUGAAAAUACCACAGGUAAUUUUAAUUUCUA
Molecule: long non-coding RNA, 1371 nt
Filed under: Homo sapiens (human)
Lineage: Eukaryota; Metazoa; Chordata; Mammalia; Primates; Hominidae
Description: non-protein coding lnc-GJE1-3:2
Source: RNAcentral